GGUCGUUUCGGUAUCGAGCAUCGACUCGGACGUUAGCGAUCGUCGUGACGUACGCGAAGCACUUUAUUCCGGGAUAUUUCGACGCCACAGAAAAACUAUACUCGUACUUGGGAGUUUUCUCAAAAUGCUCAGGCCAGCAAGACGUGCGGAAAGUAUAUAUAAGAAAAAAUAAGAAAUCAACGGCAGCGGAGCGUUUCGCGAGUUAGAAUCAAGGGAGAAGGAGCGAUUGACCGAGCUUAAUGAGACGAAAAGGUGAAUAAAUAUAAACUCAAAGGGUGUUACGUGUAUAGAAAUCGUAGGAGGAGAGAGCGACUCGUCUCAUCCGAGGUUACGCUCAUUCAAAAGGAUCGAGGUUGUCGAUCUAAAUGAAACAAAUGAUAUUCGAGUAUAAAGAAGAUAAAAGUAGCCUCUAAAUAUGUAAGUUGUAUUAUAUAAACUGCGAGUUUUUAAAGAUUCAAGUAUCAAAUGCAAUGCCUUAUCCGUCAAUAGACACUCCGCAUUCAUUAUUUCCGAGUUGAAAUUUGUCAAAACUCGAUGAGAAGAAAGAGACACGGUCACACCGAGCGGAGAGGAGAAAAGCACUUUUCUCGGGCGACUCGACUCUCGACAGGCCUUUCCAAUCAGCAUAUUUUCCUCCAUUUACAUUCUCGCGUUACAACUGCCAAUGGAGAGAAACAAACAAAAGAAAAUAGGCAGCUAAGCGAGAAGACGAGAAAAUUGAAGGAAACAUAUUUCCUACAGAUUCGAGAGUAAAUAAACCGUAGAGUUAGAGCGCAGCCUGUCAUCGCGAAGCAAACCGCUCGUAUAUGUAAAACGUACUCGUAGAAAGCGAAAGUAUAAAUUCAAACUCUUCGUUAACGAUAAAUAAAUCCGACAUAAUAAUAAUAAUAAUAAUAAUAACAACAAUAAUAAUAAUAAUUGUUACGACGAGAGAAAACAAAUAUAUUGACGAUGUACAAUCAACUUCGAAUCGAACUAAACGUAACUCGAAGACUGCGUGUGCGUGGGGCGGCCCCGUUUUCCAUCGAAACGAAAAAAUCAUUGAAAAGAAAUAGGAAAAGAAAAAAAAAGUGAAAACCCACGUAUUUCGAUGACUGCGUGGCGACCGACUAGAUCGAAUAUUGCGUAGAGGUAAUUUCACUCCGACGACGUAGAAAGAUCGAUUUCCGUUGUUUUCAUUAUCUUUAGCUCCCCAACCGACAAAUAUAAACGAAUCCAUUCGAUAGGCUGUUUUGCAAAGAUACUCGAAAAUUCUUAGCAUCCAGAGUUUAUCCGGACGCGGCGGGGGAAAAGAAUUCCGGACUUUCGGGUCGUCGUUUAUCUCCAAAAACGCACGAAAUCAUGAAUCAGAAAGCCCUCAGGGACGAGGCUCGUGAAAAUGUUGAAGAGAAACGACACGGAAUACCGGACUUCGAGUACCUUGGGAAUCGUCGAGGCUCGCGAACUUUUUAGGGCGGUUUGAAAAUAAAAUUCAAUUCUCGAUGUUUACGUUGGCACGGAAUUCCCUUCAUUCGAUAUGUGUAUAUAUGUACUAAAUGCAUAAAGAAGAAAAAGAAUACCAAGAAAUAAUGAUGUAUUGGACACACUGAAAACAGCAGUGAGCUUUUAGUCGUUAUUUAUACGAAUGAUAAUUUAUAUAAAUAUACAUGAUGAAAAAAAAAAAAAGUUGAUGAAUUAAAAACGUGAGUUUAUGUAAUGAAUAUUUAUAUGAAUGAUGAUAGUAAAAGUAUGGGGAGAGAAAGAAGAACUCGGAACGAUCAAUUAAGCAAAAGGGGAAGGUAAAGAUCCAAUUAUUUCAUCGUCAAAGACUGAGGAGCGCAGGAUUAUUGGUGGAGAAACACAAUAGAGCGCAUGCUUUUUGCUAACGAGACCCUAAGAGCACUUACGAGAGUUAAUAAUAAAAGUAAUAAAAUAACGAGACAGAAGCUUUUUACGAUUUUUGACAUUUUUGCUAUUCGAGCGUCGCGUGUCUAGAUGCAGCGUCAUUUUUACAAGUGUCUUCGGCUAAUAUCCGUUUUAUAAUGCAAAAGGAAAUUAGAUAUAUAAAAAAAAAAAAAAACUAAGAGAAAAGGAGGAAAACAAAGUUUGUCUUUCGGUUGAAAUAAUAAAGACUGUGAAACCUCAUCGAACCACCACGAUCAUCAAUCAGACACCAACCUAGUUCGCUCGCUGUCAUCCGGUCAAGAGAAUAACGAGAAGGGAGGAGAAAUCGCCCACUUCGCUGUUCACGCACGUCGAACGUAACGUCGAACAACAUUAUUUCACGAUUUUCAUCCUUCGCCAAAUUUAGUCUUUUUUAUUCUCAACGAGUAGAGUAGAAAUUGAGAACGAAAGUGUCAGUUGUAGCCAGAUAAACGUGCGUAAAGCUUGACCAAUUUGUACGCGGAGCUGAAUUUUUUCAUCGCACCAAGUAUACCAUGAAAAAAUGAUAAACUGAAAAUGAAAAUCAUUCGAAAAAAUGGGAGCUACGAACGAAAUAAUCGAAUUCACGAAACCGCCUCGUACACUGAGAUCGAAUUGUUGAAAAUCUUAUUACGUAAGACCCGAUACGUUCACCGAAAAGAUUGAAAAAUGUAGAUGAGGCCCAUCGAUAGAACGAAUUUGUAGAAUAAAAAGCGCAGGAAUUCCGAUGAGUCUCGUCUUCGACGUACCGGAAUGUCGUUGCAUCGUUAUCGAUACGAAAAAAAAAAACAAACAAAAAACAAACGGAAGAAAAAAAAAUGAAAAACAAAUAGAUUGUAUACAUCCAAAUAUCACUUUGUAUAAACGUAUCGUUAGUCAUUGCGCGUGUAUCACGAACGACGUGUCAUUAUUGUAAAUGCGAUGAAAAUAAGAAAGAAUAUUGAAACAUAAAGUAACGACGAUUGGAAAUAAAAAGUAUAAGUGAUGACAAA
Molecule: long non-coding RNA, 2894 nt
Organism: Venturia canescens
Lineage: Eukaryota; Metazoa; Arthropoda; Insecta; Hymenoptera; Ichneumonidae
Exons: 2
Source: RefSeq, a predicted model, not a curated record